RNAcentral lists this ribosomal RNA (609 nucleotides) under uncultured bacterium. RNAcentral describes it as "bacterial SSU rRNA". It matches the Rfam family "Bacterial small subunit ribosomal RNA", at positions 80 to 685 of the family's 1533-position model. The record is from RNAcentral.
UUGCUUCUCUUGAGAGCGGCGGACGGGUGAGUAAUGCCUAGGAAUCUGCCUGGUAGUGGGGGAUAACGUCCGGAAACGGACGCUAAUACCGCAUACGUCCUACGGGAGAAAGCAGGGGACCUUCGGGCCUUGCGCUAUCAGAUGAGCCUAGGUCGGAUUAGCUAGUUGGUGGGGUAAUGGCUCACCAAGGCGACGAUCCGUAACUGGUCUGAGAGGAUGAUCAGUCACACUGGAACUGAGACACGGUCCAGACUCCUACGGGAGGCAGCAGUGGGGAAUAUUGGACAAUGGGCGAAAGCCUGAUCCAGCCAUGCCGCGUGUGUGAAGAAGGUCUUCGGAUUGUAAAGCACUUUAAGUUGGGAGGAAGGGCAGUAAAUUAAUACUUUGCUGUUUUGACGUUACCGACAGAAUAAGCACCGGCUAACUCUGUGCCAGCAGCCGCGGUAAUACAGAGGGUGCAAGCGUUAAUCGGAAUUACUGGGCGUAAAGCGCGCGUAGGUGGUUCGUUAAGUUGGAUGUGAAAUCCCCGGGCUCAACCUGGGAACUGCAUUCAAAACUGACGAGCUAGAGUAUGGUAGAGGGUGGUGGAAUUUCCUGUGUAGCGGUGAA